UGAGGAAUAUUGGUCAGUGGGUGCAAGCCUGAACCAGCCAUCCCGCGUGAAGGACGACUGCCCUAUGGGUUGUAAACUUCUUUUGUAUAGGGAUAAACCUACCCUCGUGAGGGUAGCUGAAGGUACUAUACGAAUAAGCACCGGCUAACUCCGUGCCAGCAGCCGCGGUAAUACGGAGGGUGCAAGCGUUAUCCGGAUUUAUUGGGUUUAAAGGGUCCGUAGGCGGACUUAUAAGUCAGUGGUGAAAGCCUGUCGCUUAACGAUAGAACUGCCAUUGAUACUGUAAGUCUUGAGUAUAUUUGAGGUAGCUGGAAUAAGUAGUGUAGCGGUGAAAUGCAUAGAUAUUACUUAGAACACCAAUUGCGAAGGCAGGUUACCAAGAUAUAACUGACGCUGAGGGACGAAAGCGUGGGGAGCGAACA
This 422-nucleotide ribosomal RNA is filed under the name uncultured bacterium. RNAcentral's name for it is "bacterial SSU rRNA". It matches the Rfam family "Bacterial small subunit ribosomal RNA", at positions 355 to 774 of the family's 1533-position model. The record is from RNAcentral.